Molecule: ribosomal RNA, 464 nt
Filed under: uncultured Rhodocyclaceae bacterium
Lineage: Bacteria; Pseudomonadati; Pseudomonadota; Betaproteobacteria; Rhodocyclales; Rhodocyclaceae
Description: partial 16S ribosomal RNA
Rfam family: Bacterial small subunit ribosomal RNA
Source: RNAcentral
CCUACGGGAGGCAGCAGUGGGGAAUUUUGGACAAUGGGGGAAACCCUGAUCCAGCCAUUCCGCGUGAGUGAAGAAGGCCUUCGGGUUGUAAAGCUCUUUCGGCAGGAACGAAACGGCGGACUCUAACAUAGUCUAUCAAUGACGGUACCUGAAGAAGAAGCACCGGCUAACUACGUGCCAGCAGCCGCGGUAAUACGUAGGGUGCGAGCGUUAAUCGGAAUUACUGGGCGUAAAGCGUGCGCAGGCGGCUUUGUAAGACGGAUGUGAAAUCCCUGGGCUUAACCUAGGAACUGCGUUCGUGACUGCAAGGCUAGAGGGCGGCAGAGGGGGGUGGAAUUCCUGGUGUAGCAGUGAAAUGCGUAGAGAUCAGGAGGAAGGCCGGUGGCGAGGGCGGCCCUCGGGGGAUGGACUGACACUGAGGCGCGAAAGCGGGGGGAGCAAACAGGAUUAGAUACCCCUGUAGU